Molecule: ribosomal RNA, 2105 nt
Filed under: Coccomyxa subellipsoidea C-169
Lineage: Eukaryota; Viridiplantae; Chlorophyta; Trebouxiophyceae; Coccomyxaceae
Description: 16S ribosomal RNA
Rfam family: Bacterial small subunit ribosomal RNA
Source: RNAcentral
AAAGCAUGAUGAGUUUGAUCCUGGCUCAGAAUGAACGCUGGCGGUAGGCCUGACACAUGCAAGUCGAACGGGGCCAAUCCUGUUGUUGAUGCAAGCAAUGCCUUGCACCGCAUGCAAGGCGAUGCUCUGCAAGUGGUGCAGUCCCAUUGUGUGCAACACGAACGGGAUCCAACUCCGUGGCGAACGGGUGAGUAAGACGUGAGAAUCUGCCUUCUACUACGGUGGAAGGAGCCUCACCAACUCUGUUGGUUGAUGGCUCUGAAUCCCGUAUACAAACAAGAGAAAGACAUAUCAGUCGGUAGAAGAUGAGCUCUCGUAGGAUUAGGUAGUUGGUGAGUUAAAAGCUCGACCAAGCCAAAGAUCCUUAGUCGGUCUGAGAGGACGAUCGGCCACACUGGGACUGAGACACGGCCCAGACGCUUUCGAGCGGCAGCAGUGAGGAAUCUUGGACAAUGGGCGGAAGCCUGAUCCAGCCAUACCGCGUGAGGGACGAAGGCUAAAUGGGUUGUAAACCUCUGACCUCAGCCUAGAUUGUGACAUGGGCUGAGGGAAAAGUCCCGGCUAACUCCGUGCCAGCAGCCGCGGUAAUACGGGGGGGGCAAGCGUUAUUCGGAAUUACUGGGCGUAAAGGGCAUGUAGGCGGCCAAUCGCCACCCCUUCUUGGGCAGGCUUCUAGGGGGCUCAACCCCCAUCUGGAGAUUGAGCAACCCUUCAAGCCUGGCUGAGGGAUUGAUGUGGGUUGUGGGGUUGGGUUUCCAACCCCAAACCGGUUAAAUCCUUCCGCCGUGCUAAAGAUUCAGAGUGAAUCUCAAGAGCUCCCCGCCAUUUGAGGCGGGGUGGUUUGGCAAAUCCCUGGGCCCACCCGAGGGUUGCCAAGGGGCAGUGGCCUGCAUCACAUGGAGAGCAUCGCUCUCCAUGUGAUGCCUGCGUUGCCUUGCAACGCAUGGCCACUUUUGGGUUUGGCUAGAGUAAGCUAGAGGGGAGUGGAAUUCCUGGAGUAGAGGUGAAAUUCGUAGAUACCAGGAGGAAGGCCGAAAGCGAAGGCAUCUCCCUGGCGCUUGACUGACGCUGAGGUGCGAAAGCGUGGGGAUCAAAGGGGAUUAGAGACCCCCGUAGUCCACGCCCUCAACUAUGAGGAUUCACUAUCAGGGGGCUGCAUUUGGGGGCUUGCACCACGGGAGUGGUGCAAAUCCUUCCAUCUGUCAGCCUGCUUGGUGGUCUAGCUAACGCGUUAAAUCCUCCGCCUGAGGAGUACAGCCGCAAGGCUAAAACUCAAAGGAAUAGACGGGGGCUCAUACAAGUGGUGGAACAUGUGGUUUAAUUCGAAACAACGCGCAGAACCUUACCAGCCCUUGACAUUGAUUCGAUCUUGCCCUUUACCGGGCAAGAAAGCAAUCAACAGGCGUUGCAUGGCUGUCGUCAGCUCGUGUCGUAAGAUGUUUGGUUAGUUCCUUUAACGAGCGCAACCCUCAUGGAAUCUUGCCAGCAACCCCUUUCAGGUGUGGGGCCUUGGAGAGGCGCAUUGCUCUGCAAUGCGCGCCUGCUACUCAAGGCUUAGCCUUGGGCCAGCCACAAGGACCCCCUGCAUCACGAAGUGAGUUGCUACUGUUUCCAAACUGCCUGUGAUAUACAGGAGGAAGGUGAGGAUCACGUCAAGUCGUCAUGACCCUUAUGGGCUGGGCUACACACGUGUUACAAUGGCAACCACAAAGGGAAGCGAUGGUGCGAACCGGAGCGAAUCCUGUAAAAGUUGCCCCAGUUCGGAUUGCUCUCUGCAACUCGAGAGCAUGAAGAUGGAAUCACUAGUAAUCGUGGAUCAGCACGCCACGGUGAAUCUGUACCUGGGCCUUGUACUCCCCGCCCGUCACGCUCCGGGAGUCGAGUGGCUUAGAAGUCUCAUCAACCCCCUCUCUGAUGUUGCCCCAAUCGUGCCACUCUGGUGCGCCGCUCUGGUGGCCCCAGCCCUUAGGUGGGAUGGGCCCCCAAAGCGGGUGAGGCGCGCAACACAAGAAGGGGCGUAGAAUGACCAAGAACUGUUUGGCAACUGGAGCGAAGUCGUAACAAGGUAGCCGUAGGGGAACCUGCGGCUGGAUUGACUCCUUUAU